GAUGAACGCUAGCGGUGUGCCUAAUGCAUGCAAGUCGAACGGGAUCCCUUUGGAUUCGUCUGAAGGUGAGAGUGGCGAACGGGUGAGUAACACGUAGGUGACCUGCCCCCGGAGAGGGGGACAACCACUGGAAACGGUGGCUAAUACCCCCAGAUGUUAUUGCGCUUAGAAAGCAAUUACUAAAGUUCCGGCGCUCCGGGAGGGGCCUGCGGCCCAUCAGCUUGUUGGUAAGGUAAUGGCUUACCAAGGCUAAGACGGGUAGGGGGCGUGAGAGCGUGACCCCCCCACACUGGUACUGAGACACGGACCAGAUACCUGCGGGUAGCAGCAGCAAGGAAUAUUGCCCAAUGGACGAAAGUCUGAGGCAGCAACACCGCGUGGAGGAUGAAGGCCUUCGGGUUGUAAACUCCUUUUCUGGGGGAAGAGAAAGGACGGUACCCCAGGAAUAAGUCUCGGCUAACUACGUG
Molecule: ribosomal RNA, 467 nt
Filed under: uncultured bacterium
Lineage: Bacteria
Description: bacterial SSU rRNA
Rfam family: Bacterial small subunit ribosomal RNA
Source: RNAcentral